This 493-nucleotide ribosomal RNA is filed under the name uncultured bacterium. Its description in RNAcentral is "partial 16S ribosomal RNA". The stretch from base 14 to 380 matches the Rfam family "Bacterial small subunit ribosomal RNA", at positions 41 to 398 of the family's 1533-position model. The record is from RNAcentral.
GACGAACGCUGGCGGCGUGCUUAACACAUGCAAGUCGAACGGUGAAGCGCCUUCCUUUUUGGUGGGUGUGGAUGAGUGGCGAACGGGUGAGUAACACGUGAGUAACCUGCCCCCUUCUUCUGGAUAACCGCAUGAAAGUGUGGCUAAUACGGGAUAUUCUGGGUCUGUCGCAUGAUGGGUCUGGGAAAGAUAUUGUUUCGGUGGGGGAUGGGCUCGCGGCCUAUCAGCUUGUUGGUGGGGUGAUGGCCUACCAAGGCGGUGACGGGUAGCCGGCCUGAGAGGGGGGCGGGUCCACCGGGGACGGGGCACCGGCCCGAAUUCCACGGGGGGGAGGCGGGGGGGAUAUUUGACAAGGGGGGCCAGGCCUGAGCCGGGGCGCCCGGGGGGGGAGGGGGGGCCGUGGGGUGGGAAACCCUUUUCGCAGGGAAAGAGGGCCUGCCUUGUUUGUGGGGGGGUUGAGGGAGGUGGAGAAAAAGCGCCCGCUAACUUACGG